Peromyscus leucopus (white-footed mouse) is the source of this 370-nucleotide long non-coding RNA. RefSeq lists it as uncharacterized. NCBI's taxonomy places the organism in Eukaryota, Metazoa, Chordata, Mammalia, Rodentia, Cricetidae. The transcript has 3 exons. The record is from RefSeq and is a predicted model, not a curated record.
AACACCACAUUCCAAAGCCGUUAAGAGACCUAACUGCAGUCACAGAGCCAGAAAUGGUGGUGGAGGAUGGCUAGAAAUGAACAAAAUGGUUCCUAAUGCGUGCUAGAGUUGACACAAAUUCCUCAGUGACCUCUGGUUAUUGUAACUGAAUGAUAUGCUAAGCACACUAUUAUCCGGGUCAGUAACUGCACCUACAACCCAUCCAGCUCUUGUCUGCAUUGUUACUUGCAGGCCAUUGGUUGUGACUGAGAAGAAAAAAAGGGACAUAUUCCUAACUUUAAUCAAAUCGUCAAUGAAGUCUAUAAUCCAAAAUGUGUCAUCAGAUUAGAAGAAGCAAGGAAAUUCUGUUUUUUAAAUAGAAAAUCAAGAG